RNAcentral lists this ribosomal RNA (244 nucleotides) under uncultured bacterium. Its description in RNAcentral is "partial 16S ribosomal RNA". It matches the Rfam family "Bacterial small subunit ribosomal RNA", at positions 111 to 354 of the family's 1533-position model. The record is from RNAcentral.
UAACGCGUGAGGAACCUGCCUUUCGGAGGGGGACAACAGUUGGAAACGACUGCUAAUACCGCAUGACACAUGACUGUGGCAUCGCAGACAUGUCAAAGAUUUUAUCGCCGAAAGAUGGCCUCGCGUCUGAUUAGCUAGUUGGUGAGGUAACGGCUCACCAAGGCGACGAUCAGUAGCCGGACUGAGAGGUUGGCCGGCCACAUUGGGACUGAGAUACGGCCCAGACUCCUACGGGAGGCAGCAG